RNAcentral lists this ribosomal RNA (465 nucleotides) under uncultured bacterium. RNAcentral's name for it is "partial 16S ribosomal RNA". It matches the Rfam family "Bacterial small subunit ribosomal RNA", at positions 28 to 507 of the family's 1533-position model. The record is from RNAcentral.
GACGAACGCUGGCGGCGUGCUUAACACAUGCAAGUCGAACGGAAAGGCCCCUUUGGGGGUACUCGAGUGGCGAACGGGUGAGUAACACGUGAGUAACCUGCCCUUGACUUCGGGAUAACUUCAGGAAACUGGGGCUAAUACCGGAUAGGAAUCCUUGCUGCAUGGUGGGGGUUGGAAAGCUUCGGCGGUUUUGGAUGGACUCGCGGCUUAUCAGCUUGUUGGUGGGGUAGUGGCUUACCAAGGCUUUGACGGGUAGCCGGCCUGAGUGGGCGACCGGCCACACUGGGACUGAGAGACGGCCCAGACUCCUACGGGAGGCAGCAGUGGGGAAUAUUGCACGAUGGGCGGCAGCCUGAUGCAGCAACGCCGCGUGCGGGAUGACGGCCUUCGGGUUGUAAGAAGCUUUCAGCAGGGGCGAAGCUUGUGGUGAAGGUACCUGCAGAAGAAGCACCGGCUAACUACGUG